UUAUAAAAUAGACUAUCCUUUUUUGUAUUAUUACAAUUUGCCGGAUAUUUAAUAAAAAUAUAUUUAAAUCCAACUUUAAAAAGGUUACGCACCCCUGCUAUUCCGAAUGACCUUGACUGUGGUUUGUUUACAUUUGGUAUCGCUUCUCCUUGGACGUGCUUUAGAUGUCGCUACGAAGCACAGACGUCACAAAAAAUGUAAACAAAUUUGACAGUUGCGAUAACGCCCUAUAGUACUUGCUCACAAGUUGGCGCUUUUUUUUGCGAACCCGAACCCAUAUUUUAGUGAUAAAAGUGCUAGAAAUAUUUUAAAUACUGAUACACGGAGAAAAAAGAAUUUAUGAUAAAACAUGCCGCGAAACUAUAUAAGAAAAUCUAAUAGAUGCAGAUAUGAUAAUGAUAAAUUAAAUGAGGCUGUCAAUGCAGUAAAAAAUGGAACAAUAUCUGCAUACGCUGCAUCAAAACUUUAUAAUAUACCAAGAACAACAAUUGUUAACCGUGUAAAUGAUCGCAAAGGUUUAAAGUCCAAAACUUUAGGCAGGUGUACUGCAUUGCCGACGGAUGUGGAAGAAACGCUUGCGAAAAAUCUCCACGUAAUGGAAAGAUCAGGGUUUGGGUUAACGCGCAAGGAAGUGAUUGAAUUGGUUACCCAAUACGUGGUUGAGAAUAAAAUUAAAACUCCGUUUAAAGAUGGGAUACCUGGAGAGGACUGGUUUCUUGGUUUUAAGAAAAGACACGGACUUUCCAUUAAAAAACCCCAAGCCGAUGAACAUGCGCGUAAAACUUCCUUGGUCAUGAUUCAUACAGUUACUUUGAUUAAUAAUUAGAGAAAACUAUUGAUGGACUUAUUAGAAGAUGAUGUUAUUUAGUUGAAAAAAUAAUGGAUAAGUACAAAGAAAAUAAAGUGGGUUGUAUUUGAACUCAUUAUACUCAUAGGUGUUUCUCCAGAUGGGGACUACAUAGAGGAAAAUUCAGACAUUUGUGCUCUAUUCUGCUUGCACACAAGGAUUUUGCUAUUAAAAAAUGGAAAUAUAAUAGAAGUAGAAAACAAUAUCUGAUUGACAAAUACAUUUGUACAUGUAGGUACAUGUACAGAUUUUUGGUGUAAUGCUAUUUUUCUUUUUUUAUAACUAUAUUAGGAGCCUGGGUCAUUAAAUGUAUAUGUAGCAAAUAAUGGUGGAAAAUAAACAAUUAUUUUAUAAAACAACA
Colias croceus (clouded yellow) is the source of this 1208-nucleotide long non-coding RNA. RefSeq lists it as uncharacterized. Lineage: Eukaryota; Metazoa; Arthropoda; Insecta; Lepidoptera; Pieridae. The transcript is spliced from 2 exons. The record is from RefSeq and is a predicted model, not a curated record.